RNAcentral lists this ribosomal RNA (293 nucleotides) under uncultured bacterium. RNAcentral describes it as "partial 16S ribosomal RNA". It matches the Rfam family "Bacterial small subunit ribosomal RNA", at positions 333 to 643 of the family's 1533-position model. The record is from RNAcentral.
CGUGUCCUACGGGGCGCAGCAGUGGGGGAUAUUGGACAAUGGGGGAAACCCUGAUCCAGCGAUGCCGCGUGAGGGAAGAAGGUUUUCGGAUUGUAAACCUCUGUGGAGGGGGACGAUAAUGACGGUACCCCUUUAGGAAGCCACGGCUAACUACGUGCCAGCAGCCGCGGUAAUACGUAGGUGGCGAGCGUUGUCCGGAAUUACUGGGUGUAAAGGGAGUGUAGGCGGGAAAGCAAGUCAGAAGGGAAAACUGUGGGCUUAACCCCUAGCCUGCUUUUGAAACUGUUUUUCUU